This 253-nucleotide ribosomal RNA is filed under the name uncultured bacterium. Its description in RNAcentral is "partial 16S ribosomal RNA". It matches the Rfam family "Bacterial small subunit ribosomal RNA", at positions 524 to 776 of the family's 1533-position model. The record is from RNAcentral.
UACGUAGGGUGCAAGCGUUGUCCGGAAUUAUUGGGCGUAAAGAGCUCGUAGGCGGUUUGUCGCGUCGAAUGUGAAAACCCGGGGCUCAACCCCGGGCCUGCAUUCGAUACAGACAGACUAGAGUUCGGUAGGGGAGUCUGGAAUUCCUGGUGUAGCGGUGAAAUGCGCAGAUAUCAGGAAGAACACCCGUGGCGAAAGCGGCUCUCUGGAACGGUACUGACGCUGAGACGCGAAAGCGUGGGGAGCGAACAGG